GAUCAGCUUCCAUUGGUGUCUUCCAUUACGGCGGGAUCAGCCCAUCAGUUUGACGGUAGCACUCAUUCGUCAGGUCACAGAACCCUUAGAAAGACGGACGGAGCAAAACGGCCACAGGCCUUCGUCAGAAGGACACGCUACCCUGCCGACCGGCCGUCUUCCUUCGUCGGAAGGGCCCAUGUCCGUGCCGACCGACCGCCUGCCCUCGUUCGAGGGAGGGAAGGGGCGGAUACCGUCGGUGGAGGGACCUGCCCCGUCGAUCCGCCGUCCGCCCUCGCUGGAGGGGGCGCCACUGCGCGGGGACCCGUCCGUACUACAACUGGUGCUCACCAGUGGCCAGAUGGCGCCAGGCAUCCAGGGCGCUCAGCUCAUCAUACCCACUGCUCAAGGUGUAACAGUGCAGCCCAUCAUUGCGAUCCCAGCC
Molecule: long non-coding RNA, 424 nt
Organism: Amphibalanus amphitrite
Lineage: Eukaryota; Metazoa; Arthropoda; Thecostraca; Balanomorpha; Balanidae
Exons: 3
Source: RefSeq, a predicted model, not a curated record